RNAcentral lists this ribosomal RNA (883 nucleotides) under bacterium. RNAcentral's name for it is "bacterial SSU rRNA". It matches the Rfam family "Bacterial small subunit ribosomal RNA", at positions 35 to 899 of the family's 1533-position model. The record is from RNAcentral.
GCUCAACGCGUGCCUAAUACAUGCAAGUCGAGCGAACAGACGAGGAGCUUGCUCCUCUGACGUUAGCGGCGGACGGGUGAGUAACACGUGGAUAACCUACCUAUAAGACUGGGAUAACUUCGGGAAACCGGAGCUAAUACCGGAUAACAUGUUGAACCGCAUGGUUCAACAGUGAAAGACGGUCUUGCUGUCACUUAUAGAUGGAUCCGCGCCGCAUUAGCUAGUUGGUAAGGUAACGGCUUACCAAGGCAACGAUGCGUAGCCGACCUGAGAGGGUGAUCGGCCACACUGGAACUGAGACACGGUCCAGACUCCUACGGGAGGCAGCAGUAGGGAAUCUUCCGCAAUGGGCGAAAGCCUGACGGAGCAACGCCGCGUGAGUGAUGAAGGUCUUCGGAUCGUAAAACUCUGUUAUUAGGGAAGAACAAAUGUGUAAGUAACUAUGCACGUCUUGACGGUACCUAAUCAGAAAGCCACGGCUAACUACGUGCCAGCAGCCGCGGUAAUACGUAGGUGGCAAGCGUUAUCCGGAAUUAUUGGGCGUAAAGCGCGCGUAGGCGGUUUUUUAAGUCUGAUGUGAAAGCCCACGGCUCAACCGUGGAGGGUCAUUGGAAACUGGAAAACUUGAGUGCAGAAGAGGAAAGUGGAAUUCCAUGUGUAGCGGUGAAAUGCGCAGAGAUAUGGAGGAACACCAGUGGCGAAGGCGACUUUCUGGUCUGUAACUGACGCUGAUGUGCGAAAGCGUGGGGAUCAAACAGGAUUAGAUACCCUGGUAGUCCACGCCGUAAACGAUGAGUGCUAAGUGUUAGGGGGUUUCCGCCCCUUAGUGCUGCAGCUAACGCAUUAAGCACUCCGCCUGGGGAGUACGACCGCAAGGUUGAAA